GCCCCCGUGGCGCAAUGGAUAGCGCAACGGCCUUCUAAUCCGUGGGUUGCAGGUUCGAGUCCUGCCGGGGGCGCCA
RNAcentral lists this transfer RNA (76 nucleotides) under Nocardioides sp. zg-1230. RNAcentral's name for it is "tRNA-Arg". It matches the Rfam family "tRNA". From Rfam's summary of the family: Transfer RNA (tRNA) molecules are approximately 80 nucleotides in length. Their secondary structure includes four short double-helical elements and three loops (D, anti-codon, and T loops). The record is from RNAcentral. Lineage: Bacteria; Bacillati; Actinomycetota; Actinomycetes; Propionibacteriales; Nocardioidaceae. RNAcentral also lists the same sequence under 3 other names.